RNAcentral lists this long non-coding RNA (1134 nucleotides) under Dromaius novaehollandiae (emu). Its description in RNAcentral is "lncRNA (ENSDNVG00000019074.1)". Lineage: Eukaryota; Metazoa; Chordata; Aves; Casuariiformes; Dromaiidae. The record is from RNAcentral.
UAUUGGAUCUUGCACACGUUGCUAAUACCCUAACAUUGUGCUGUCAGCAUUCAUAACAGAGCUGGGCUGAUGGAUGCAUGCAUCUUGGUAAUUGUACUGGAAAUGCUGGAAGACUCAGAAUAUACACUAGAUAUAUUGGCAAAAUUUUCUCAAUUCUGUUUCUGCAUUGUGCACUAUUUUUCUGAAGGCUAAGGAGCUGUCUAAUCUUGAGUGCUUGGAUGAUCUUGGUAGGUAUAAAAUACCCUUCAGAGAUUCAAUUGUAUUUUUGUACUUUUUAAGUUGUGACAAAUUUGUAACCAUAGUUUAAUGAAAUKAACUGAACACUCAGGUCCCUUGAGGCUGGCAGUGGGAUAUCUUCACGUUAGCUUCCCUUUGGAUUGUACCUUGAUUUGUUCUAGGUAGCUCRGUGCUCAUGUGCCAACCUUUUGGUCCUGUUUUGAUUUAUGGAAAAUGAAAGGAAGAUUUCUAGUUCUAGGAGGUAUUAUAUCCAAAACGCKUUAGUUACUGACAGACAGUUCAUGCAACGUAUCCUGCCCUGCCGCUCGUAGUUUCCAUAAGGUCCGGGGUGCCCUGUGUUUUGGUGACGAAUCCCCAGGCUCCUGGGCACAAGCUGACCCUCCCCUGGCUGAAGGAAGGGAUUUUCCCCCGUGGAGGAGCUCUUCAUAAUUGUCAUUUUCUGCAGCUUCCACUGCAGUAACUGAGAGCCAGACGUUGUCAGACAGGAUUACAGGUCUGGCUUUCAGCAUGAGGCCAUCUGGUAGCAUCAGAUUUUCUAUGUAAUCUUGCCAGCUGUUUGGCACUGGAGUGGUAAGAAAUGAUGUAGGUUUACAUAUAAGGCAGGCUUGCCAUUAAUGUAUCUUGGUAAAAACGCUGGAGAUCCUAGAUGUGUUGCAUGUGCUGCCAAAACACAGGUCUCUGAGCCAGAGAUUUUUUUGUUUAAAAGUGCACAAGAGCAAGUGGUGUGCCUGUGCGUUGCAUUUCCACCCGYAUCACCAAAUUCCUACAUUUGUUGUGAUACAAACCUUUGCCAACAAACUGCAAUGAUUCUGCAUUUAGUCCUUGGGCUCGUUUUUUCCUCCGAUAUUUACCAAGCCAGGAUUAAAACGACAUCUGACUUCUUCUGACGUCUUUUCU